CAAAAGUUUUAUUCUAGCUUAAAAAUUAUAUUUAAUUUUGUUUUACAUGUAAGCUUUAGCACGAUUCCCUUUUUGUCCUAUAAGGACAAAAUUUAUAAUUUAAUUCGCAGUAAAGAAAUUUAAUUAUCAGUGUUGGCUGGAUUUAGGAAUAAUUAAGAAUACCGAUAAAUUUUGUGCCAGCCGUCGCGGUUAUACAGGGGGUAUAAUAUAAUUUUUUCGGGUUUAGUUAACUUUGAAUUUUAAUUUUAAUUCGGGAUUUAUUAGGUGAAAUUUUAAAUUUUGAUGAAAAUUUAUUUUUUUUGGUAAGGCUAGGAAAUUCUUUAUUUAAACUAGGAUUAGAGACCCUAUUAUUUUGAACUUAAAUUAUAUUCCUGGAUUAAUAAAAGUUAUGUUCUUGAAAAUUAAAGAUUUUGGCGGUAUUUUAGUCCAUUCAGAGGAACCUGUCCUGUAAUCGAUGAUCCACGUUUUAUCAUACUUUUUUUAAAAGUUUAUAUAUCGUCGUAGAUUGAAUAUCUUUGGAGAGUUAAAUAUUCAUGAUUUUAUAAGAUAGGAAAACAGAUCAAGAUAUAGCUUAUAAAAAAGGAGAGAUGGGUUACAAUAAAUUUAUUUAGAAGGAGUAUGCUCUUUAAAGGGGCUGUGAAUACGGAUUUGAAAGUAAUUUUAAUUAAAUUAUUAGAAUGAUUUUGGCUCUAUAAUAUGCACAUAUCGCCCGUCACUUUCACCCCAAGGUGAAAUAAGUCGUAACAAAGUAGGCUUACUGGAAGGUGAGCCUGGCAAGUC
RNAcentral lists this non-coding RNA (780 nucleotides) under Bifidoprionus rufus. The record is from RNAcentral. Lineage: Eukaryota; Metazoa; Arthropoda; Insecta; Coleoptera; Cerambycidae.